RNAcentral lists this ribosomal RNA (429 nucleotides) under Chloroflexota bacterium. Its description in RNAcentral is "Chloroflexi bacterium partial 16S ribosomal RNA". It matches the Rfam family "Bacterial small subunit ribosomal RNA", at positions 355 to 776 of the family's 1533-position model. The record is from RNAcentral. Lineage: Bacteria; Bacillati; Chloroflexota.
UGGGGAAUAUUACACAAUGGGCGCAAGCCUGAUGCAGCCAUGCCGCGUGUAUGAAGAAGGCCUUCGGGUUGUAAAGUACUUUCAGCGGGGAGGAAGGGAGUAAAGUUAAUACCUUUGCUCAUUGACGUUACCCGCAGAAGAAGCACCGGCUAACUCCGUGCCAGCAGCCGCGGUAAUACGGAGGGUGCAAGCGUUAAUCGGAAUUACUGGGCGUAAAGCGCACGCAGGCGGUCUGUCAAGUCGGAUGUGAAAUCCCCGGGCUCAACCUGGGAACUGCAUUCGAAACUGGCAGGCUAGAGUCUUGUAGAGGGGGGUAGAAUUCCAGGUGUAGCGGUGAAAUGCGUAGAGAUCUGGAGGAAUACCGGUGGCGAAGGCGGCCCCCUGGACGAAGACUGACGCUCAGGUGCGAAAGCGUGGGGAGCAAACAGG